AGGGUUCGAUUCUGGCUCAGGAUGAACGCUGGCGGCGUGCAUAACACAUCAAGUCGAACGGGCAAAGGACUCGGUCCCGCGCUAGUGGCGGACGGGUGAGUAACGCGUGAGCAACCUGCCCCCUGUGUGCGGGAUAACGUCGGGAAACUGACGCUAAUACCGCAUGACCCAAUAGAAUCGCAUGGUUCAGUUGGCAAAGAUUUAUUGCACAGGGAUGGGCUCGCGUCCGAUUAGAUAGUUGGCGGUGCAACGGACCACCAAGUCGACGAUCGGUAGCCGGACUGAGAGGUUGAACGGCCACAUUGGAACUGAGAUACGGUCCAGACUCCUACGGGAGGCAGCAGUGGGGAAUAUUGGGCAAUGGGCGAAAGCCUGAACCCCCAGCGACGCCGCGUGAAGGAAGACGGUCUUCGGAUUGUAAACUUCUUUUAUGUAGGACGAAACAAUGACGGUACUACAUGAAUAAGCCACGGCUAACUACGUGCCAGCAGCAGC
Molecule: ribosomal RNA, 495 nt
Filed under: uncultured bacterium
Lineage: Bacteria
Description: bacterial SSU rRNA
Rfam family: Bacterial small subunit ribosomal RNA
Source: RNAcentral